UAGUCCACGCUGUAAACGAUGAGUGCUAGAUGUUGGACCUUUAAGGUUCAGUAUCGUAGCUAACGCAUUAAGCACUCCGCCUGGGGAGUACGAUCGCAAGAUUAAAACUCAAAGGAAUUGACGGGGACCCGCACAAGCAGUGGAGCAUGUGGUUUAAUUCGAAGCAACGCGCAGAACCUUACCAGGCCUUGACAUCCUGAUCGCGAUUUUCAGAGACGAAUUUCUUCAGUUCGGCUGGAUCAGUGACAGGUGCUGCAUGGCUGUCGUCAGCUCGUGUCGUGAGAUGUUGGGUUAAGUCCCGCAACGAGCGCAACCCUCAUUCUUAUUUGCCAGCGAGUAAUGUCGGGAACUAUAAGAAACUGCCGGUGAUAAGCCGGAGGAAGGCGAGGAUGACGUCAAGUCCUUAUGGCCCUUAUGGCCUGGGCUACACACGUGCUACAAUGGGAACUACAAAGAGUCGCUAACCCGUGAGGUGUGCUAAUCUCUAAAGUUCU
RNAcentral lists this ribosomal RNA (494 nucleotides) under uncultured bacterium. RNAcentral describes it as "bacterial SSU rRNA". It matches the Rfam family "Bacterial small subunit ribosomal RNA", at positions 791 to 1286 of the family's 1533-position model. The record is from RNAcentral.